AAGUUGUUAAAAAAAAAGACUAUGUUCAUAACAUGCUACAUUAAAAAAGGAGUUCUCAGGGCUGCCAACCUUACAGUUGAGGUUGAGUGGUAGUAUAUUUCUCCUACAUAA
RNAcentral lists this small nucleolar RNA (111 nucleotides) under Microcebus murinus (gray mouse lemur). Its description in RNAcentral is "Small nucleolar RNA U109 (ENSMICG00000025248.3)". It matches the Rfam family "Small nucleolar RNA U109", at positions 24 to 134 of the family's 134-position model. The record is from RNAcentral. Lineage: Eukaryota; Metazoa; Chordata; Mammalia; Primates; Cheirogaleidae.